Molecule: ribosomal RNA, 2966 nt
Filed under: Flexistipes sinusarabici
Lineage: Bacteria; Pseudomonadati; Deferribacterota; Deferribacteres; Deferribacterales; Flexistipitaceae
Description: 23S ribosomal RNA
Rfam family: Bacterial large subunit ribosomal RNA
Source: RNAcentral
UAUAAAAACGAAAGGGCUCAAGGUGGAGGCCUUGGUGCUAGGAGGCGAAGAAGGACGUGGCAGGCUGCGAAAAGCCAUGGUUAGCUGCGAGCGAGCUAAGAACCAUGGAUAUCCGAAUGGGGCAACCCACCCGUAGAGAUACGGGUAUUCUGGGGUAAAACCCAGGAGGCGAACCCGGGGAACUGAAUCAUCUAAGUACCCGGAGGAAAAGAAAGAGCAAUCGAUUCUCAGAGUAGCGGCGAGCGAAAUGGGAAGAGUCUAAACCGGCAGUGGUGUAAAAGGGCACAUCCGUUGCUGCUGCGGGGUAGAGGGAGAUGAUCUAUGAUGAAUGUGCAGCAUCGGGCAGUAUUAAAUCUAAGAGAUGAAUCACUCUGGAAAGGUGAACCAGAGAGGGUGAAAGUCCUGUAAUCGAAUUAGAUUUAAUAAGGUCAGAUCAUAGUCCCGAGUAACACGAGUUAAGUGGAAUCUAGUGUGAAUCAGCGAGGACCAUCUCGUAAGACUAAAUACUACCUAGCGACCGAUAGUGAACAAGUACCGUGAGGGAAAGGUGAAAAGAACCCCUGUGAGGGGAGUGAAAGAGAACCUAAAACCUUGAGCUUACAAUUAGCCAGAGCACUAUUAAUAAAUGUGUGAUGGUGUGCCUUUUGUAGAAUGAGCCGGAGAGUUGCUUAUCAGUUGCGAGGCUAAUCCUAAGAAGGGAGGAGCCGCAGGGAAACCGAGUCUGAAGAGGGCGGAGGUAGCUGGUAGCAGACACGAAGCCGGGUGAACUAACCAUGUCCAGGGUGAAGCGUGGGUAAAACCAUGUGGAGGCCCGCACCAGUUGGUCCUGAAAAACCAUUGGAUGAGGUGUGGUUAGCGGUGAAAAGCCAAUCGAACCCGGAGAUAUCUUGUACUCCCCGAAAUAGCUUUAGGGCUAACCUUAUGGUAGUUUAUGGGAGGUAGAGCACUGGAUGGAGUAGGGGCCGAGAGGCUACCGAAUCCAACCAAACUCCGAAUGCCUAUAAAUGAUCCAUGGGAGACAGACUACGUGUGAUAAGAUUCGUAGUCGAGAGGGAAACAGCCCAGACCGCCAGUUAAGGUCCCAAAGAGUAUGCUAAGUGGUAAAGGAAGUGAAACUACGAAGACAGCUAGGAGGUUGGCUUAGAAGCAGCCACUCCUUGAAAGAGUGCGUAACAGCUCACUAGUCGAGUGGUUUUGCGCCGAAGAUGUAACGGGGCUAAAGUAUACCACCGAAACUGCGGACAGAUACUUGUAUCUGUGGUAGGGGAGCAUUCCAUGCGGAUAGAAGGUAUACCGAGAGGAGUACUGGACUGUAUGGAAGAGAGAAUUCCGGCAUGAGUAACGAAAAGAGAGGUGAGAAUCCUCUUCGCCGAAAGUCUAAGGAUUCCUGGGGAAGGCUUGUCCACCCAGGGUUAGUCGGGGCCUAAUGUGAACCCGAAGGGGGAAGCAGAUGGAUAUCAGGUUAAUAUUCCUGAACCGCUAAUAUAUUGUUUGAGCGAAGCAGUGACGUAGGAGGAUAUGCUGAGCGCGUUAAAGGUAAACGCGUUUAAGCGCUGAGGCAUCUGAAGGUAGGCAAAUCCGCCUUCAGGCUAAGUCAAGGCGUGAUGGGGAGUCAGGUAAGACUGGCGAAGCAGCAGACUUCACACUACCGAGAAAACCUGCUAAGUGAGAUAUAUAAGUGCCCGUACCGCAAACCGACACAGGUAGACAGGAUGAGGAAUCUAAGGCGUACGAGAGAACCCUUGCUAAGGAACUCGGCAAAUUGACCCCGUAACUUAGGGAGAAGGGGUGCUUGAGCUUGUGGAAGGAACUUGUUCUGGAAGCGAAUUCAAGCCGCAGAAACUAGGCCCAAGCGACUGUUUACCAAAAACACAGGUCUCUGCAAAUCCGUUAAGGAGAUGUAUAGGGACUGAUGCCUGCCCGGUGCUGGAAGGUUAAGGGGAACAGUGAGAGCUGUGAACUGAAGCCCUGGUAAACGGCGGCCGUAACUAUAACGGUCCUAAGGUAGCGAAAUUCCUAGUCGGGUAAUUUCCGACCUGCACGAAAGGCGCAACGAUUUGGGCGCUGUCUCGGCGAGGGUCUCGGUGAAAUUAAAGUACCGGUGAAGAUGCCGGUUAGUCGCAGCUGGACGGAAAGACCCCGUGAAGCUUUACUGCAGCUUGUCAUUGUUGUUUGCAGUAUUUUGCACAGGAUAGGUGGGAGACAAUGAAGGGAUGCUUCUGGGUGUCCCGGAGUCGUUGGUGGAAUACCACCCCUAAUAUUGUGAGCAACUAACCUUACAAUUUGGAGAAAAAUUGGGGGACAGUGAUAGGUGGGCAGUUUGACUGGGGCGGUCGCCUCCUAAAGAGUAACGGAGGCGCACAAAGGUUCCCUCAGGCUGUUUGGAAAUCAGCCGAAGAGUGUAAAGGCAUAAGGGAGCUUAACUGAGAGACAGACAUGUCGAUCAGAUACGAAAGUAGGUCUUAGUGAUCCGGUGGCGCUGUAUGGAAGGGCCAUCGCUCAACGGAUAAAAGCUACUCCGGGGAUAACAGGCUAAUACCAUCCAAGAGUUCACAUCGACGAUGGUGUUUGGCACCUCGAUGUCGGCUCGUCACAUCCUGGGGCUGAAUCAGGUCCCAAGGGUUGGACUGUUCGUCCAUUAAAGUGGCACGCGAGCUGGGUUCAGAACGUCGUGAGACAGUUCGGUCCCUAUCCGCUGUGACCGUUGGAUAUUUGAGGGGAUCUGCACCUAGUACGAGAGGACCGGUGUGGACGGAGCUCUGGUGUACCAGUUGUCCCGCCCGGGGCAAAAAGCUGGGUAGCUAACUCCGGAAGAGAUAAGAACUGAAAGCAUCUAAGUUCGAAGCUCACCCCGAGAUGAAAUAUCCCAAUCAGGAACCUCGAAGACUACGAGGUUGAUAGGCUGGAGGUGUAAGUGCAGUGAUGCAUUGAGCUGACCAGUACUAAUCAUCCGAAUGUUUUAUAUU